RNAcentral lists this long non-coding RNA (293 nucleotides) under Bos taurus (domestic cattle). RNAcentral's name for it is "long non-coding RNA NONBTAT019229". Lineage: Eukaryota; Metazoa; Chordata; Mammalia; Artiodactyla; Bovidae. The record is from RNAcentral.
AGGUGGUUCAGUUGACACUAGCACUCUUUAGCCGUAUUGCUUCUGUUUGUUAGAUCGUUGUUGCCAGUUAGAUUUCCAAAAUUAAUUGGGUUUUAUGGACUAAUUGUUAUGCAUAGGGUAAAUUUUGUCUCCUAAUGACAGGAGUGGCUUUUCUGAAAGUGGUAGAGAAUUGGGGUUGAUGUUGAACAAAUCUGUUAAACAGUUAUUGCGUCACCAAAAUUUUCCCAAGUUGUACUACUGUGCAUAAAACCACAUAGCUGUAGCAUUUGUUAUUUUAAUUUAUAGUGUAUUCU